Molecule: non-coding RNA, 372 nt
Organism: Talpa occidentalis (Iberian mole)
Lineage: Eukaryota; Metazoa; Chordata; Mammalia; Eulipotyphla; Talpidae
Source: the annotation of a RefSeq genome assembly
AUGGACAUGAGGGCCUCCACUCAGCUCCUCAGCCUCCUGCUGCUCUGGCUCCCAGGGGCCAAGAGUGCCAUCCAGAUGACACAGUCUCCACCCUCUGUGUCUGCAUCUCUGGGAGACAGAGUCACCAUCUCCUGCCGGGCCAGUCAGAGUGUUUACAGCAGUUUACACUGGUAUCAGCAGAAACCAGGCAAAGUUCCUAAGCCUUUGAUCUACGAUGCAUCCAAUUUGCAGCCCGGGGUCCCAUCCCGCUUCAGUGGCAGUGGAUCUGGGACAGAUUUCACUCUCACCAUCAGCAGCCUGGAGCCUGAAGAUGCUGCCACUUAUUUCUGUCAGCAGGGUUACAGUACUCCUCCCACAGUGACACAAGCCUGA